Mercenaria mercenaria is the source of this 3711-nucleotide long non-coding RNA. RefSeq lists it as uncharacterized. The record is from RefSeq and is a predicted model, not a curated record. The transcript is spliced from 4 exons. Lineage: Eukaryota; Metazoa; Mollusca; Bivalvia; Venerida; Veneridae.
AUUCCUUAGACAAGUAAUUCUCUCUAAAUGAUUUAUUCACUUUUGACCUUUAUAAAUAAACUAUCAACGCAUUAGUUUUAAUUUCAGAUUUAACAUCAAUGAACCCCGUUUAAGAACUUACUACGAACACUAUAUUAAUUAAGUAGAAAAGAAAACCUCUUAUUGGCUGAAAACAGAAAUACCGGAGAUUGUUUUCCUUUUACAAGAUAGCUCAUAUUUAUUUCGCUUAUAUCUUAAGGACGCAUUCAUUUAAUUUUAUUAUUGUUUACUGAAUUUUAUUCGAGCCUCAUAUUUGGGUCAGUACUGGCGAAACGGCAAAGCAAUUAUACACAUUCCUUUUUUACUAAAUUAUUUUCACUUUUAGAUAGAAAUUAUUAUAUCACAACCACGCAUGUUCCCCCACCCACACUUCCACACCAUUUUUUCCUGCUGUUUCUCAGCCAUCUCAGACACAUUUUUAUUUAUUAUUCAAGUUUACAUCCCACCUUAAGUAAAAGUAUAAAAUCAUGAAACCUGCCGUUACUGUCAUGUAACAAUGAUGUAUUGUAUAAGGCAAGUUUGUAAGUAUCUUACAUUGCUGAAUGUUCCCAGCCCGAGGGACACGAUGGAAUGAGAAACCGUGUCUUUAACGAAAACCGUGUCUUAUUACACAGGCUGACAUAUUGGGUAGCGCAAACCUUGUCUUUAAAUGCAAGCUAUGCUUACGUAGCAUCAGCGAAAUUUAUGACGGGCAGUGGAAGGAACGGCUUCACGGAAUUUAUACCUUUCUGGAACCGGUUUGAUCCAGUUCUGUUGAGCGUGGGUUGCAUAAACACAAAGGAAUUUCUGAUUUUACCCCACCACCUACCCCAUGUCCACACUCAAAUUCAGUUAGAGAGGUAUUCAAAGUUUCUAUUUGGUCAGUGGGCCAUUUCUAAAGAAACCUCCCCAUUUUAUUUACUUUAUUUACUUUUAAAAAUUUAUUUUCCUUCGUAAAAAAAUUCAGAAACCUGUUUCUGUCAUACAACAAACAUGUUUCAUGACCAUUAAGCUACAUUUUGUGUUUGUUGAUUUCUCCCAUAACUGGUCAUAAAGGUCUUUAUAGUUUUACACACAUAGAAGGGUACACGAAUUAUGUUCACUUUAGAUAGAAAUUAUUACAUCACAACCUAGCAUGCCCCCUCCCCCGUCCCAGAUCACUUUUUAAUUCAUUUUGUUUAAACAUGUAUUAUUUUAUUUUCAAAUACAAUUUCUCGUGUCAUAUUACCACAAUUAAUUACUAAAAAAAAAUUCCCCACAGAUUUUCAAAAAAACAUAGGAAUGUCCAUCCAAAUAUUACCAAUUUUGUCUCAAAACAGUCUUGCGGAGACGGCCAUUUUCAGUAUGUUGCCAUGGCAAAGAUAUCUAAUUUAGAUGAAGUUGCGCUAAACAUGUCAUUUUGGACGGGUUACCAUUAAAGUUGCUUUAAUUUGGCAUUUUUUGUGACCAAUAAUGUAGGACCAUUGUCUUUGCAAUUGCUUUAAACAUUAGACGUUUCAUUGUCUUAGGUUAAUUACGUUAAGACGUGUUUUUGACAACUCGUUACUUUAAGGUCUCAACAUUGUGUCAAAUCAAUAAAAUCUAUAUAAUAUGUCCGAGUCGUUAUUGACGCAGACUGAGGUUCAACUUCAAAAGUGCUUUUAUGUGUGUUCUCGGAGCAUUUGACAAGUGUAUAUAUUAUGGUUAAAGAUGCAAGUGCACCUGAGUAAUUAAUAUGUUGAAAUAAACAGAAAAAUAUCAAAGCCUGUCUAGGAUGAAUAUGGUGCGAAGUAUACACCAGAUUUCACAUAGUCAUAUAAUAUGUUUAUUGAUAUUUUGGUUGUUAAAACAUCGGAGCAGAUCUAGAUCUACGUUAGGAUGUUUAAUCACUGGAAUUCUUUUGCAAAAAUACACGACAUGGGCAACGAUACAUAAUAGAUUAAAAUGUACUAAAACAUUGUAUACGAACAAGCGCAAUAAAUAUCUUACAAUGCAAGUAACUGCCUAGUUGUUUAAAUGUUCUGACACGUCUCGAUUUGUUCCUUAAUAAAAUACCACUUGGACUACGCUCUAGUGAUAUUAACCGUUCGGAUCUGCAUUCGCUUGAUGUUCGUGAGUGGAAGUCGUCGUUUUACAUUUUUGGUGAAUAGCACAGAGUUUGAUGUAAAAUAACAAUGCAAAUAGGAAAACUGCUUACUUUUUGCAUAAACAGACAGAUCAACAUCCUUAUUUUGCCUAUAUUAUCAUUUUUACUUGACCGAUUUUCGUAGACUAUCUGUGUAGAUAACGUACACACUUUCACAGUCGAGAGAAGUGUUUGAGAAAAGUACUGAGAACUGAAUGCAGACGUUUUAUGUGGAGGGAAGCAGUCGUUUUGCUGUCUUCUACGCUCUUUAUUCAAAUAAUAAGGAAAUUAUAGGCAAAAUGUCACCUGAAUCAGGAUAUUUUCUCCGUGUAUACGUCUGCAAAACUCACGUGGGUUGGCCCCCUGCAGCCUGAAGGUUGAAUGCAAGUCCAUUCAAUACCAGCGACAUAAUAUCAUGCAUUUGCAUGCAUUAAACUUCUAGGUAGAGCGAUACGAUGCGUCCUUUUAGAUAAAAAGAGUUUAUUAUUUAGAUCGUAGUCAGUAAAUAUUUAUGAAACGCGCUUUUAUUGACUUUUAUUAAGACAUUUGUUUUAAUACCUUGAUUUAGUUUAUAUGUAAUAACAGACAUUUGUAACAUUAGCAGAUUUUACAGAUACUGUCUUGUUAUACAACUCUCUGGGAUUUAAACUUAGUAGCCAUGUUUAAUGUUCAUAUGACGGAAGGAUUGAAGAUGAUCACGUCACAUGAUGGAAUAGCGACAGUGCAUAUGACCAAUGGAGAGAAUCGUUUUCGAUUAUCGUUUGUUAAUGCUUGGAUGAAAAUAUUGGAAGAAAUAGAAAAGAACAGUGAUAUAAAAGGAGUAAUAAUAACAGGAAAUGGGAAAUACUUCAGUCUGGGUCUCGAUCUUGCUUAUCUUAGCACACAGACUGCAGAGUAUUUAGAGGAAACGAGAAUCAGCACAGCAAAGCUCUGCAGACGACUAAUUCUGUUGCCAGUGCCAACUGUUGCCGUAAUUAAUGGUCAUUGUUUUGGCGCUGGUGUAUUUCUUGCAUUAGCAUGUGACUACAGGGUGAUGCGAUCAGAUCGAGGCUGGUUGUGUUGGCCGGAAGUUGCACUGAACAUACGCAAUCCUCCAUACGUUAUUCAUUUAUAACGCCUUAAAUUUCCAGUAGGAAAAGCAAUACGAGAUGCGGUAAUACUGGGGAAACGGCUUACUGCACGAGAUUCACAUGAUCUGCAGUUAGUGAACAUAGUUUCAUCACAGGAGACUUUAAACGAUGACGCUACAAAACUGCUUCAUGAAGUUCUUGGCAAAAACGGUAUUGACAGACAAUCAUUGAAGCAGAUGAAAGCUGACAUUUACGAUUUCCCUCGUCAUCUUUAUGCCGAUAAUACAGCAAAACUGUAGUUUAGUUUCAACCAUGCAAUGUUUUUGUCUUUGGUUUUUACACCGUCCAACGGUAGACUAUGUGAGAAUAUGUGAUUUCAAGAUUUUUUUAUUCAAGAAUUUAGCCCACAUGGGCUUCAGCCUUGUAAAGGCGACGAACAUUUACAUGCAAAUACAUGUACAAAGAACAGUGCGUAUACAUGUAAUAAUACAUAACAGACACAAUAAAAUCUUACUGUAG